GGGAUAACCCUGGGAAACUGGGGCUAAUACCGGAUAGGCAAUUAUUCCUGCAAUGGUUUUUUGUUUAAAUGUUUUUCGCCUAAGGAUGGGUCUGCGGCCGAUUAGGUAGUUGGUUAGGUAAUGGCUUACCAAGCCGUUGAUCGGUACGGGUUGUGAGAGCAAGAGCCCGGAGAUGGAACCUGAGACAAGGUUCCAGGCCCUACGGGGUGCAGCAGGCGCGAAACCUCCGCAAUGUGAGAAAUCGCGACGGGGGGAUCCCAAGUGCCAUUCUUAACGGGAUGGCUUUUCAUUAGUGUAAAAAGCUUUUGGAAUAAGAGCUGGGCAAGACCGGUGCCAGCCGCCGCGGUAACACCGGCAGCUCUAGUGGUAGCAAUUUUUAUUGGGCCUAAAGCGUCCGUAGCCGGUUUAAUAAGUCUCUGGUGAAAUCCUGUAGCUUAACUGUGGGAAUUGCUGGAGAUACUAUUAGACUUGAGACCGGGAGAGGUUAGAGGUACUCCCAGGGUAGAGGUGAAAUUCUGUAAUCCUGGGAGGACCGCCUGUUGCGAAGGCGUCUAACUGGAACGGUUCUGACGGUGAGGGACGAAAGUUAGGGGCGCGAACCGGAUUAGAUACCCGGGUAGUCCUAACUGUAAACGAUGCGGACUUGGUGUUGGGGUGGCUUUGAGCUGCUCCAGUGCCGAAGGGAAGCUGUUAAGUCCGCCGCCUGGGAAGUACGGUCGCAAGACUGAAACUUAA
This 735-nucleotide ribosomal RNA is filed under the name uncultured archaeon. Its description in RNAcentral is "bacterial SSU rRNA". It matches the Rfam family "Archaeal small subunit ribosomal RNA", at positions 123 to 859 of the family's 1478-position model. The record is from RNAcentral.